Molecule: long non-coding RNA, 386 nt
Organism: Episyrphus balteatus (marmalade hoverfly)
Lineage: Eukaryota; Metazoa; Arthropoda; Insecta; Diptera; Syrphidae
Exons: 2
Source: RefSeq, a predicted model, not a curated record
GUGAAGGUCGUCGUCGAAAAACUAAGAGAAACUUUGUUUGGUUUAAAUUUCUUCCAAAAAAAACCUUUUUAUUUUCAAUUAUUUCAUUUAAUUAGGAGAAGAAAGAAAAUUUUUUAUACACAAGAAAUAACCAUCGUCAAGAGGAGACGUCAGAAUCAGAUUAGUGAGAACGAGAGCACUAUAUUAUGAAAUCAAAGAAGCAAAAAAAAACGAAAUGGAAUUGAGGAACACUACACACACACACAAACACGCUAACUGGAAAGAACACUUUACACGCAGAAAGAAAAACGAAUUGGAAUAUGGAAUUGGAAAGAGAGAGAUGAGAAGAAAUAAGAAGAAAAGAAAUUGGGCGCUGGCGAAAAAUAUGAUUUUUUUUUCUUCUUUUG